Molecule: ribosomal RNA, 491 nt
Filed under: uncultured bacterium
Lineage: Bacteria
Description: partial 16S ribosomal RNA
Rfam family: Bacterial small subunit ribosomal RNA
Source: RNAcentral
AGUGAACGCUGGCGGUAGGCCUAACACAUGCAAGUCGAACGGCAGCACAGUAAGAGCUUGCUCUUACGGGUGGCGAGUGGCGGACGGGUGAGGAAUACAUCGGAAUCUACUUUUUCGUGGGGGAUAACGUAGGGAAACUUACGCUAAUACCGCAUACGACCUACGGGUGAAAGCAGGGGAUCUUCGGACCUUGCGCGAUUGAAUGAGCCGAUGUCGGAUUAGCUAGUUGGCGGGGUAAAGGCCCACCAAGGCGACGAUCCGUAGCUGGUCUGAGAGGAUGAUCAGCCACACUGGAACUGAGACACGGUCCAGACUCCUACGGGAGGCAGCAGUGGGGAAUAUUGGACAAUGGGCGCAAGCCUGAUCCAGCCAUACCGCGUGGGUGAAGAAGGCCUUCGGGUUGUAAAGCCCUUUUGUUGGGAAAGAAAAGCAGCAGGUUAAUACCCCGCUGUUCUGACGGGACCCAAAGAAUAAGCACCGGCUAACUGCGU